GGUGGUAAUGCCGGAUGCUCCAUCACAUUGCAUGGUGUUUUGGGAAAGCCUUUGCGGCAUGGGAUGGGGUCGCGUCCUAUCAGCUUGAUGGCGGGGUAACGGCCCACCAUGGCUUCGACGGGUAGCCGGCCUGAGAGGGCGACCGGCCACAUUGGGACUGAGAUACGGCCCAGACUCCUACGGGAGGCAGCAGUGGGGAAUAUUGCACAAUGGGCGCAAGCCUGAUGCAGCGACGCCGCGUGAGGGAUGGAGGCCUUCGGGUUGUAAACCUCUUUUGUUAGGGAGCAAGGCAUUUUGUGUUGAGUGUACCUUUCGAAUAAGCACCGGCUAACUACGUGCCAGCAGCCGCGGUAAUACGUAGGGUGCAAGCGUUAUCCGGAAUUAUUGGGCGUAAAGGGCUCGUAGGCGGUUCGUCGCGUCCGGUGUGAAAGUCCAUCGCUUAACGGUGGAUCCGCGCCGGGUACGGGCGGGCUUGAGUGCGGUAGGGGAGACUGGAAUUCCCGGUGUAACGGUGGAAUGUGUAGAUAUCGAGAAAGAGAACCCCACCCCC
Molecule: ribosomal RNA, 550 nt
Filed under: Bifidobacterium breve
Lineage: Bacteria; Bacillati; Actinomycetota; Actinomycetes; Bifidobacteriales; Bifidobacteriaceae
Description: bacterial SSU rRNA
Rfam family: Bacterial small subunit ribosomal RNA
Source: RNAcentral